AUACUUACCUGGCAGGGGAGAUACCAUGAUCACAAAGGUUUUUUUCACAGGACGAGGCUUCUCCAUUGCACUCUGGCUGUGCUGACCCCUAUGAUUUCCCCAAAUGUAGGAAACUCGAUUGCAUAACUUAUGGUAGUGUGGAACUGCAUUCACGCUUUCCCCU
Small nuclear RNA from Manis javanica (Malayan pangolin), 163 nucleotides. RefSeq annotates it as U1 spliceosomal RNA. The record is from RefSeq and is a predicted model, not a curated record. Lineage: Eukaryota; Metazoa; Chordata; Mammalia; Pholidota; Manidae.